AAUCAAUUCAAAUUUAUAGGAAAAAACUAGACAUCAAAGGUUUGAUAGAUCCUUUUACUUGUAUCCAUUUGUGUUCUAAACCCUUUUACUCUAUACUUUAUCAACUGGACCCUUAAAAUUAUUAAAAUACAACAUUUGAAACCCCUAUGAUCAUUCACCAAAUCUAUGUGGCAUAAUAUUAUUGAGUUGGAAAGAUGUGUGAGUACACUCACUUUCAAGCCCGUAAAAACCUAUAUGUUAUUUAAAAAUAUUAUUCUUUAUCAAAAAAACUUAUUUCUUUAUUAACCACCCCCAUCCUACCCACCCAAUUUCUCUCAUCAUGGAACACUCUUCCCAUCCGUAACCCUAAACUUUCUUCUCUUCUUCUUCAACAAAAUCACCACGAUACAUAUUCUUUUCUUUUGUUCAAAAUCACCCGUCAUAUACUUUCUUUUUGUUCUUCAAGCAACUCUCAUCUUUGCAACAAAUCAAAAUCCCGCCAUUAAUUUCUUUUUUCAUGCCCCAUUUUUUUAAAUUCUUAAUCUUUUUUUAUUUUGAAAGUUGAAAUUAUUGUUUGUGUUAGUUAGAUUCAAAGAAGAGACCAUGAUAUGCACUUAUGUAAAGGAUAAUGGUUGGCAUUGAAGAAGUUGAAAAGUCCAUUAGUAAGUUUGAAGAACAAUAAAUGAGUUUUAUGAAUUUGUGAAAUUAAUUCAAAUUUGUAAUUGGGGCUCGUUGAACUUGUGUUAGUGAAGUUGAAGUUGAAAUUUCAAGUCAAAUAAAGAAGAAUUUCAUCUAUUUGGUAUGAACUUGG
RNAcentral lists this unclassified non-coding RNA (790 nucleotides) under Hevea brasiliensis (rubber tree). Lineage: Eukaryota; Viridiplantae; Streptophyta; Magnoliopsida; Malpighiales; Euphorbiaceae. The record is from RNAcentral.